This 1554-nucleotide ribosomal RNA is filed under the name Salmonella enterica subsp. enterica serovar Braenderup. RNAcentral's name for it is "bacterial SSU rRNA". It matches the Rfam family "Bacterial small subunit ribosomal RNA". The record is from RNAcentral. Lineage: Bacteria; Pseudomonadati; Pseudomonadota; Gammaproteobacteria; Enterobacterales; Enterobacteriaceae.
UUAAAUUGAAGAGUUUGAUCAUGGCUCAGAUUGAACGCUGGCGGCAGGCCUAACACAUGCAAGUCGAACGGUAACAGGAAGCAGCUUGCUGCUUUGCUGACGAGUGGCGGACGGGUGAGUAAUGUCUGGGAAACUGCCUGAUGGAGGGGGAUAACUACUGGAAACGGUGGCUAAUACCGCAUAACGUCGCAAGACCAAAGAGGGGGACCUUCGGGCCUCUUGCCAUCAGAUGUGCCCAGAUGGGAUUAGCUUGUUGGUGAGGUAACGGCUCACCAAGGCGACGAUCCCUAGCUGGUCUGAGAGGAUGACCAGCCACACUGGAACUGAGACACGGUCCAGACUCCUACGGGAGGCAGCAGUGGGGAAUAUUGCACAAUGGGCGCAAGCCUGAUGCAGCCAUGCCGCGUGUAUGAAGAAGGCCUUCGGGUUGUAAAGUACUUUCAGCGGGGAGGAAGGUGUUGUGGUUAAUAACCACAGCAAUUGACGUUACCCGCAGAAGAAGCACCGGCUAACUCCGUGCCAGCAGCCGCGGUAAUACGGAGGGUGCAAGCGUUAAUCGGAAUUACUGGGCGUAAAGCGCACGCAGGCGGUCUGUCAAGUCGGAUGUGAAAUCCCCGGGCUCAACCUGGGAACUGCAUUCGAAACUGGCAGGCUUGAGUCUUGUAGAGGGGGGUAGAAUUCCAGGUGUAGCGGUGAAAUGCGUAGAGAUCUGGAGGAAUACCGGUGGCGAAGGCGGCCCCCUGGACAAAGACUGACGCUCAGGUGCGAAAGCGUGGGGAGCAAACAGGAUUAGAUACCCUGGUAGUCCACGCCGUAAACGAUGUCUACUUGGAGGUUGUGCCCUUGAGGCGUGGCUUCCGGAGCUAACGCGUUAAGUAGACCGCCUGGGGAGUACGGCCGCAAGGUUAAAACUCAAAUGAAUUGACGGGGGCCCGCACAAGCGGUGGAGCAUGUGGUUUAAUUCGAUGCAACGCGAAGAACCUUACCUGGUCUUGACAUCCACAGAACUUUCCAGAGAUGGAUUGGUGCCUUCGGGAACUGUGAGACAGGUGCUGCAUGGCUGUCGUCAGCUCGUGUUGUGAAAUGUUGGGUUAAGUCCCGCAACGAGCGCAACCCUUAUCCUUUGUUGCCAGCGGUUAGGCCGGGAACUCAAAGGAGACUGCCAGUGAUAAACUGGAGGAAGGUGGGGAUGACGUCAAGUCAUCAUGGCCCUUACGACCAGGGCUACACACGUGCUACAAUGGCGCAUACAAAGAGAAGCGACCUCGCGAGAGCAAGCGGACCUCAUAAAGUGCGUCGUAGUCCGGAUUGGAGUCUGCAACUCGACUCCAUGAAGUCGGAAUCGCUAGUAAUCGUGGAUCAGAAUGCCACGGUGAAUACGUUCCCGGGCCUUGUACACACCGCCCGUCACACCAUGGGAGUGGGUUGCAAAAGAAGUAGGUAGCUUAACCUUCGGGAGGGCGCUUACCACUUUGUGAUUCAUGACUGGGGUGAAGUCGUAACAAGGUAACCGUAGGGGAACCUGCGGUUGGAUCACCUCCUUACCUUAAAGAA